AUUGAGGGUUUGUAUCAAUGAGGUGCAUUUGACCCACAGGAAUCUACAAAGAGAGAGUCUGUAGAGAAAUUAAUUGGGGAAUUGAUGCAAUACUAUUAUCAUGAAAACAGGUUGAAAUGUAAAGAAUGAGAGACAGAUGUUCUACAGCAACAGAAUUCUCCUUCCAAAAUGAGAUAGGACUCAUCACCAGAUUUCAGCAAACCCCUCUCUUGUAUACUUAUUGCCCUAAGAAAUGUGUAGUAUUCAGAAACCUACAUGCCCUGUUAUAGCAUUAUACUCCAUAAAGCCUGGAUCUCCAGCAGAUUUGAUGACUGAGCUGUGAGUGCUCCACAACAAGGCUCUUUUAUCACACAAGCAGGAGGCGGGUUUUGGGUGCAGGACCAAGUUUCCAAGAAAUAGUGAACAUGAUUUUUGGCAUUGAACUUGCUGAAGGAACAGAUUUGGUGGUACUUCUAUAUGUGAAUAUAUCUAUAUACAAGGGAGGGAGAGUUUCUAGUUUACACACACACAUAUAUAUAUAUAUAAAAUAAGAUUAUGUAAUAAAUAAGAUUUAUAUUUCCUACUCAUUCUGCUCAUUUCUGGU
Molecule: long non-coding RNA, 583 nt
Organism: Hirundo rustica (Barn swallow)
Lineage: Eukaryota; Metazoa; Chordata; Aves; Passeriformes; Hirundinidae
Exons: 5
Source: RefSeq, a predicted model, not a curated record